Long non-coding RNA from Aethalodelphis obliquidens (Pacific white-sided dolphin), 526 nucleotides. RefSeq lists it as uncharacterized. The transcript is spliced from 4 exons. The record is from RefSeq and is a predicted model, not a curated record. Lineage: Eukaryota; Metazoa; Chordata; Mammalia; Artiodactyla; Delphinidae.
AUGUCUAUUGAACACAAAACAAGAAUAUUCCCGAGGACCAGGGGUACUUCAAAUACAGCGAGUGAACACUGAGACUGAUGCCCAGCAAUCCUUUUUGACUCUACAGCCAGUGGUCAUGCUUCCUACUGAAGUGAAGAGAAAUUUUUGUUGCUAGUGUCCCACAACAGGAACGCAACAGAAUCUUCCAAUGCAUGCCUAGUCAAUACUUAUUCAAUGGAAUGGAGGUGUAAUUGAUAAAGGGGCAUCGGCAUCAUGGUUCAGGUGGGACAGGAUGGCUAGAGUGGGCUGCCGCUGGGUACUUCCCCUCCCCCAUGUGGAAGGCUAGAGCUGACUGGAGUAUUUCCCUUCCCUCCAGGUCCGGUUUUCCUACCCUGACGCUGGUUCCUGAGGUCAUUUCGGCUAAGUGCGUUUCUGCUCUGAUGCUACCUAAUUUAUGACAUUACACAAACUGUAUUUCCUCAUGACAACAAAUUGAGACUUACUGUUAUCGGAGUGCGAAGUACAGAAGAGAUCCCCUGCUGGAGAC